GAUUAAGCCAUGCAUGUCUAAGUGCAUGCCGCAUUAAGGCGAAACCGCGAAUGGCUCAUUAAAUCAGUUAUGGUUCCUUAGAUCGUACCUCACCACUUGGAUAACUGUGGCAAUUCUAGAGCUAAUACAUGCAGCAGAGCUCCGACCCUCCGGGGGACGAGCGCUUUUAUUAGACCAAGACCAAUCGGGCCCUCCCGGGCCCGCCCGUCGUGGCGACUCUGUAUAACUUUGGGCCGAUCGCACGGGCUCGUCCCGGCGACGCAUCUUUCAAGUGUCUGCCUUAUCAACUGUCGACGGUAGGUUAUGCGCCUACCGUGGUCGUAACGGGUGACGGGGAAUCAGGGUUCGAUUCCGGAGAGGGAGCCUGAGAAACGGCUACCACAUCCAAGGAAGGCAGCAGGCGCGCAAAUUACCCACUCCCGGCACGGGGAGGUAGUGACGAAAAAUAACGAUACGGGACUCAUUCGAGACCCCGUAAUCGGAAUGAGUACACUCCAAAUCCUUUAACGAGGACCCACUGGAGGGCAAGUCUAGUGCCAGCAGCCGCGGUAACUCUAGCUCCAGUAGCGUAUAUUAAAGUUGUUGCGGUUAAAAAGCUCGUAGUUGGAUCUCAGUCCCAGACGGGCGGUCCGCCUAACGGCGGCCGCCGCCCGGCCUGGACAGCCGGCCGGUUUCCCCCGAUGAUCUUCGCUGAUUGUCCCGGGUGACCGGCACGUUUACUUUGAAAAAAUUAGAGUGCUCAGAGCAGGCGCGACGCCUGGAUAAUGGUGCAUGGAAUAAUGGAAUAGGGCCUCGCUUCUAUUUUGUUGGUUUUCGGAACCCGAGGCAAUGAUUAAGAGGGACGGACGGGGGCAUCCGUACUGCGACGCUAGAGGUGAAAUUCUUGGACCGUCGCAAGACGAACUACUGCGAAGGCAUUUGCCAAGCACGUUCCCGUUAAUCAAGAACGACAGUCAGAGGCGCGAAGGCGAUCAGAUACCGCCCUAGUUCUGACCAUAAACGAUGCCAGCCGGCGAUCCGCCUGGGUUCCUCAAAUGACUCGGCGGGCAGCUUCCGGGAAACCAAAGCUUCUGGGUUCCGGGGGAAGUAUGGUUGCAAAGCUGAAACUUAAAGGAAUUGGCGGAAGGGCACCACCAGGAGUGGAGCUUGCGGCUUAAUUUGACUCAACACGGGGAAACCUACCCGGCCCGGACACCGGAAGGAUUGACAGAUUGAGAGCUCUUUCUUGAUUCGGUGGAAGGUGGUGCAUGGCCGUUCUUAGUUGGUGGAGCGAUUUGUCUGGUCAAUUCCGAUAACGAGCGAGAUUCCAGCCUGCUAAAUAGGCGCCCCGGUCCCGCGAAGCCGGGCGCUCUUCUUAGAGGGACGGGCGGCGUCCAGCCGCACGAGACGGAGCAAUAACAGGUCUGUAAUGCCCUCAGAUGUCCGGGGCCGCACGCGUGCUACACUGAAGGAACCAGCGUGUGCUGACCCUGUCCGUCAGGACUGGGUAACCCGUUGAACCUUCUUCGUGAUAGGGACCGUCGCCUGCAAGGCGACGCGAACGAGGAAUUCCUAGUAGGCGCGAGUCAUCAACUCGCGUCGAUUACGUCCCUGCCCUUUGCACACACCGCCCGUCGUUACUCCCGAUUGAAUGGUCCAGUGAGGGCCUCGGACUGGCGCGCGGAGCGGCUCUCCGCCGCGCCGCCGUGCCGGAAAGACGCCCGAACUGUAUCAUUUAGAGGAAGUAAAAGUCG
RNAcentral lists this ribosomal RNA (1733 nucleotides) under Ochyrocera sp. 508 FL-2019. Its description in RNAcentral is "SSU rRNA". It matches the Rfam family "Eukaryotic small subunit ribosomal RNA". The record is from RNAcentral. Lineage: Eukaryota; Metazoa; Arthropoda; Arachnida; Araneae; Ochyroceratidae.